UACGCCAAGGCUAUACACAACACAGUGAAGCUGAUGACAUAUUUCACACAAAUUACGUUUUCCUGAACAACUUUUAAGGAUUAUAUACGUGUAGUGGUGUAAUUUACCUAGUAUAGAUACUCUUUUACUGGGAUAUUUAUAAAUUAAUGUAAAUCAGUGCGAGGAAAGGUGGAUAAUAUUGGUAUUUGUGUGGAGUGAGAGACUUAAGCUUAGAUAUUGUUUGGUAAGGUUAAAGCUGUUUUAUUAUUACACCACCUACAGUCACAGCAAGAGUGUAAUGCAUAACUUGGAUCUCGUUACAAGAUCAAGCAGUUUGGUAUAUCUUCACAGGCACAUGUUAGUAAUCAUCCAAGGUUUUGAAAGAACAAUAUUACCACCAUUACGAUUAUUAGCAUGUAUAUGAACAUUUAAAGGCAAAGUGUUUUUUUUGUGUGCUAGUUUUAACGUGGUUUUACUGCAUAAGUGGGCUGUAUUCUCCAGUGCAGACUCCUUCACACUACUGGUACAAGUAAAUACAAUUGCACUGAACAAGAGAUUGUUUUCUCAAAUCUAACAAGAGUGAUUUAAAGAUGGCAGAGCUUGAAAAACAAGAUAUCCCAGCACCAUUGUCACCAGGGAAAGAAGAGAAGCUGGAUAGUCCACUGCAGGAGAAUCUCAGGGAAAACUUUGUUAUAUUAAAGAAUAUGUUGAUCAGCCCAGAUGACACUGUAUUUGAUCAACUUCGAUCUCAUCUUCAAGAGAAGAUCUGCGAUGGAAAUGGGGAGACUCUUUUUGAAGUGGGAGUUGGUGCAGAUGAUUCUGUUUGUGGACUGCCUGAAGAUGAGUAUGAAGCGUCAGUGGCCACGUUAAAGUCUUUGGCUGACACCCUUGAGGCAGACUGUAUUUUACUCCGAGAGAAAAAAUCUAAGACUGGUACUCAGGGGCAGUUUCUGGUGAGGAAGAAGGCUGAUGCAGAAGAUUUCAUGGAAGUCAGAGUGGCAGUAGUUGGAAAUGUAGAUGCAGGAAAGUCCACACUAUUAGGGGUCCUGACACAUGGUGAACUUGAUAAUGGCCGAGGUACUGCUCGCAUGAAACUGUUUCGUCAUAAACACGAGAUGGAGACAGGAAGGACUUCUUCUGUUGGAAAUGAUAUUCUUGGGUUUGAUAGUCGAGGAAAAGUUGUGAAUAAACCUGAUCACGGUCACCUGGAUUGGGUCAAGAUCUGUGAGGCAUCAAGCAAAGUGAUCACUUUCAUUGACUUGGCAGGCCAUGAACGAUACCUCAAGACAACUGUAUUUGGCAUGACUGGUCACCUUCCCGACUUCACAAUGCUCAUGGUUGGUGCCAAUGCUGGUGUUGUUGGUAUGACCAAAGAACAUCUGGGUCUGGCAUUGGCUCUUAAUGUACCUGUGUUUGUCAUUGUCACCAAGAUUGAUAUGUGUCCACCCAAUGUUCUACAAGACACUCUUAAGCUACUUCAUAAAAUAUUAAAGAGUGCCGGAUGUAGAAAAGUUCCCCUUUUGGUCAGGAAUGCCGAGGAUGUAGUUGUCUCUGCCACAAACUUUGUUUCGGAGAGGUUAUGUCCAAUAUUCCAAGUAUCUAACGUGUCCGGAGACAACCUGGACCUCUUGACCAUGUUCCUGAACCUCUUGUCAUCAAGAACACCCCAGAAUGACAAUGAUCCAGCACAGUUUCAGAUUGAUGACACUUACCAAGUUCCUGGUGUAGGUGUGGUUGUGUCGGGCACGUGUAUGAAGGGAAUCAUCAGGGUAAAUGAUACACUUCUUCUUGGUCCUAAUGGCUUGGGUGACUUCAUUCCUAUGCCCAUUAAAUCUAUCCAUCGGAAGCGAAUGCCAGUGCGUGAGGUAAGAGGAGGUCAGACUGCCUCAUUUGCCCUAAAGAAGAUCAAGAUCCAUGAUGUGCGGAAAGGACAGGUGCUGGUAGAUCCAUCUCUAAAUCCCUCAUCAUGCUGGGAAUUCAAGGGGGAGAUAUUGGUGUUACACCAUCCAACAACAAUCAGUACAAAAUACCAAGCUAUGGUUCAUGUGGGGUCUGUACGGCAGACGGCUUCCAUCAUUGCCAUGGACAAGGAGUGUCUAAGGACGGGAGACAAGGCUAUUGUUCACUUUAGGUUUAUCAAGCAUCCAGAAUACCUGAAGAAUGGACUAAAAAUGGUUUUCCGUGAGGGUCGCACCAAAGCUGUGGGUCGUGUGUUGGAGGUUAUUCCAAAGAUUGCCUCCCUACAGCACCAGAAGAAUCACAAAAUUAUGAAGAUGGUCAAACAGAAUGUUGGAGCGAGUGAAGGAGGACAGGCUGGAGGUGGAGAUGGGAGUGCAACACAGCAUCAGGGCCUCACAGGAGGAAACUUUGGAGGCACUAAAAAGCAGCGCAGUAGACGAGGAGGGAAACACAGGUACCUGGAAUGGCUGCACACACUAAAUAUGGCUCAUUUGGAGAAUGAAACAUUGAAACACCUCAACACAUCCAAUGUUGUAUGUAGCAGCCACUUACUCCACACCAAUAUACUGUACAGUCAGUGGACCUCCUGUUGUCCCAGCAGCAGAUAACAAUAACAAUUUACCAGAGAGAAAUGCUGAAGAAGUGUAAACCCUUUCUGUAGAGCCUAUCGAGGAUGACUGUGGUACUUUAACGGGCAAUGGUC
RNAcentral lists this unclassified non-coding RNA (2641 nucleotides) under Homarus americanus (American lobster). RNAcentral's name for it is "gTP-binding protein 1-like, transcript variant X4". The record is from RNAcentral. Lineage: Eukaryota; Metazoa; Arthropoda; Malacostraca; Decapoda; Nephropidae.